Long non-coding RNA from Manis pentadactyla (Chinese pangolin), 1977 nucleotides. RefSeq lists it as uncharacterized. The transcript is spliced from 6 exons. NCBI's taxonomy places the organism in Eukaryota, Metazoa, Chordata, Mammalia, Pholidota, Manidae. The record is from RefSeq and is a predicted model, not a curated record.
GGGAGGAGGGCCAGGGAGGCCAACCCCUCUGAUUGAUCUUCAUCUACUUUCUAAGGACACCUCUUCACCAAGGGGAACCCUUUCCAGGUGGUUGGGAUGGGAGUGAAUCACCAACGAACCAGAUUCCCUUACAACAAUGACUGGAUCCAGGACGAGCACAUGGCAGAGCCUGGGGAAGAAGGGUCUUUCCAGGGAAUUUUCUGCUAGAUCUUUUCAGUUUCAAUACCCCUGGUCAACUGAAGUCUGGAAGCAGAUGAACUUCCUUCUGAUGCAUGAUCAGAAGGUCAAUAGUAGUCUGACCCUACAUCACAGUGCCAAGCUCUUCACCUCACUUCAUCUCACCAUGUCUGAUAGCAGUUUGGUAAUUUGGUGAGAUGAGAAUGCGGCUCCCUGGGACAUCUGACUCUUCAGCAGUCACCUGCUUAUCUUCUCUCUGCACAAGCCUCACUUCCCAGGGGAUCUCAGAGACUGGGGUAAAGACUAAUUUACCAUGAGAUUAAGGCUGUUACCUUCUUAAAAGAAGGAAGCCAACUUCAUAUCCCUGGCAUGUAUUACCUAACACUCUGGAAGCAAUGAAUAGAUCCAGCUCGGGUCUGUGUGCCCAUAACUGCGGUGCGGCACAGCCUGUGCUGAAAGAGCCUGCAACAGCUUGGAAGGUCAACAGUUUUCCUGGGAACAAGGCAAUAUGCUGCUAAGGAUUAUCUCAUCAGCACCAGAAUAGGCUCAAGUGCCCAACUAACUAAAAAAUUUAAUUAAAACCCCAACAGUGUGUUUCCACAUGCAAAGACUAAGGGAAGUCUGUAGGGAGGUGAGCUUUCUUCAAGCAUGCCUCUCGAGGACAUAUAUUUGAACAUGCCCAAAAUAGAAAAGGCAAAUCAGAAUAUAUAUAUGCUUUAAAUAGAUGAAGCUCUUGUUAUAUGCGAAAGAAAAUGGUGUUUUAGCAGUGUCUCAAUUCUCCAUUUCUUUUAGGAUGUCAAGAUGCCAUCCAUGUAAGUUUUACAGUAACUUUAUCUUGUAUUCAACAUUGAUAAGCAUUCUUUUAAAAAUACAAAAUAUUUAUGUAUUAGGCUAAGUGAAAGAAAGUCUCAAAUGGGUAUACACUGUAUGAUUCCUUCUUUGUACCAUUUUGGAAAGGCAAAAAUAUAAACAGUACAGAUAAGUGGUUGCCAACAUUUGGGGUAGAGAGAGCUUGAAGGUAUUCUUCAGGAUAUUAAAAUUAGUCUGUAUCUUGCCUACAGUGGUGGUUAUAAGAAUCCAUGCAUGUGUAAAAACUCAUUAACCUACACAUUAUAGAAGUAAAUUUCGCUGUACAGAAAACUUUUUAAUUGGUUUAGAAAUCAUUUGAGUGUCUACUGUGUAUAUUAUGAUAGGGAAAUUCUCCUUGCUAUUAUAAUGCUGGAUAUUCAGGCUCUAGUCUUAGUCAGCAUCACUAUAGCAUUAUUACUUGAACAUCAUUAGAAGACUAUGCCAGCAUUACAAUUUCCAGCACUGUUACAACAUCAUUACUUCAGUGUCACCUGAGCUCCAUUAGCCUCUUACUUAAAUAAUAUAACUCAAGCUAGAGUAACUAAUGGUUGGUGUGAAGCAUCUACUUUUCCCAUUUUCCUGACUUUCACUCUGUUUCUCUAGCUUUUCAGCCAUGAUUUUUGAAUACACAGCUAAGCAAGAUACAUAAAUUAAUCUUCAUUACCUUACAGCAAAAGGAUAUGCCUCACCACAAACUCUUAGCUUUUCCUUCACUCUUCCUUCUUUAAAAGAAUAACCAGAAAUUGUAAGGAAUUCUUAUUUGCACAUUUUUGAGAAACAAUUUGUCCUGUAAAUGGGCAUCAAUGAUGCUAUGGUAUAUGUAUGUGGAGGGCAUUAAGCUGAGUUAAAUGAGCCUGACAGAAAAAGACAAAUACUGUAUGGUGUCACUUCUGUGAGGAUCUUUUUUUUUUAAGCUGAUUUCAUAUGGAUGAUAGACUGGUGGUUGCCACA